Molecule: long non-coding RNA, 898 nt
Filed under: Homo sapiens (human)
Lineage: Eukaryota; Metazoa; Chordata; Mammalia; Primates; Hominidae
Description: long independently transcribed non-coding RNA 3046, transcript variant 7 (LINC03046)
Source: RNAcentral
GACGGAGUCUCGCUCUGUCGCCCAGACUGGAGUGCAGUGGCGCAAUCUCGGCUCACUGCAAGCUCUGUCUUCCGGGUUCAUGCCAUUCUCCUGCCUCAGCCUCCUGAGUAGCUGGGACUACAGGCGCCCGCCAUUACGCCCGGCUAAUUUUAUUUUAUUUUAUUUUUAGUAGAGACAGGGUUUCACUGUGUUAGCCAGGAUGGUCUGUGUCUCCUGACCUCGUGAUCCACCCGCCUCGGCCUCCCAAAGUGCUGGGAUUACAAAAUGCGUGAGCCACCACGCCCGGCUGAUGGUUUUAUUAAUAUAAGGGACUUUAACCCUUUGCUCAGGACUUCUACUUGCUGCUGCCAUGUGAAGAAGGACAUAUUUGCUUCCCCUUUCACCAUGAUUCGGAAAGCCUGUCAUCUGUUGUGAAGGAGAGCUGGUGUUGACUUGAAGCAACAGAGUUGGUGGUCCAGUGGCCAUUGUCCUGUGUUAGGAGCAGGUGGUCUCGCUAAGCUCCAUGUGUUUGGAAAUUUCUCUGACCAGUGCUUGUUCUGCUAAAGGAAGAAGAGCUCAAGCUGCACUCCUUGUUUCCAGGAUCCCAUCCAGAAUACAUUACCUUUAGUCAUCAUGUCUCCUGUGGCUCUUCUUGGCUGUGACAGUUUCUCAGCUUUCCCAGUUUUAAUGAACUUGCCAUUUUCAUCAGAUUGUACCAAGACCUACUAUCAAUAUGACUUAUGACUAGUGGUGCUGACCUUGAUCACCUGGCUGAGGUAGUUCUUGUCAGGCUUCUCCACUGUCGAGUUGCUCUCCCCAUCCCCCUUUUCCAUAUUGUACUCUUUGAAAGAAAGUCACUAUAUGCAGCCCUUCCUUAAAAAUAUUAAAAUGAACUAGCUUAAUUAAGUUCUUUCUUACA